CACAGUGUGGCUGCAUAACUUAUGUAAGAAAUCGGAGGAUCUGUCACAACAGUGAGUGACAGAAAAGGGCAGACAAAUUCAUUCCACAAGCCAAAAACAGCGACGAAAAGGGUCUCAGCGCCACCUCUAGUGGGGAAACUGAGCCUCAGGCUCCCAACCCAGCCCCCAUGAUGCCUAGUCUGUCUAGACUCUGUGCUGAACCUGAAGCCCCUGGCCAGGUGUUGCCCAGGCCCUUCCUCGCCCACCCGGUCUCAGACCCAUUCUGCCGAACCCCAGCCUCCAGGUCAUGGCUCCUACUUGUCUCCAGCGUCUUCAGGAGCCUAAGCUGGCACUUCUGGCUGCUGGUGAAGAAGCUGGAGAAGAACCCUUGCUGGAGAUUCCCCUGGGCCAGACGCUCGGGGAAGACCUGGCAAGAGACGUGUUGCUGCUGCAGCUGCUCCCCUGCCGCGGGGCCCCGCCCGCGCUCGUCCGGAGCUCCCGCCAUGCCUCCCGCAGACCUCGCCGCUGCUUCCUCCUGGCUCGGGCGGCCAGAGCGAGACUGGGAAAGUGAAUUGAAAAGACAGGAUGAAGUGGACACAGCAUGUGAAGACAAUUCUUUCAAGAAGUUUGGCUGUCAAGGAAAAUAGAGAAUGUGCUAAAGAACAUGCAGACACAGAGCAGACAGGCCACCUUUGCAACCACAUGGAGGUUUGUCUGAUAUUGAAGCUAAAGAAGCUAAGCUGGAAGACAGAGAGAGCAAGUCCUGAUGACAUUGUUUGAACCCAGAGAUCCAGACAUGCCUGAAAACUAGUUUUACCACUGGACUUAUCCGUUGAAUGAGCCAAUAAACUCUCUUUUAUACUUAACCUUGGGUUUUACCUGGAUUUUUGUC
This 871-nucleotide long non-coding RNA is filed under the name Pan troglodytes (chimpanzee). RNAcentral describes it as "long non-coding RNA NONPTRT003417". Lineage: Eukaryota; Metazoa; Chordata; Mammalia; Primates; Hominidae. The record is from RNAcentral.